GAAAUAAGGUUAAGUUAAUAAGGGCGCACGGUGGAUGCCUUGGCACUAGAAGCCGAAGAAGGACGUGACUAACGAC
Molecule: ribosomal RNA, 76 nt
Filed under: Streptococcus uberis B362
Lineage: Bacteria; Bacillati; Bacillota; Bacilli; Lactobacillales; Streptococcaceae
Description: partial 23S ribosomal RNA
Source: RNAcentral